UACGUAGGGGGCUAGCGUUGUCCGGAUUUAUUGGGCGUAAAGAGCGUGUAGGCGGCCAGAUAGGUCUGCUGUGAAAACUCGAGGCUCAACCUCGAGAUGUCGGCGGAAACCAUUUGGCUAGAGUCCGGAAGAGGAAAGUGGGAAUUCCUGGUGUAGCGGUGAAAUGCGCAGAUAUCAGGAAGAACACCCGUGGCGAAGGCGGCUUUCUGGGACGGUACUGACGCUGAGACGCGAAAGCGUGGGGAGCGAACAGG
Molecule: ribosomal RNA, 254 nt
Filed under: uncultured bacterium
Lineage: Bacteria
Description: partial 16S ribosomal RNA
Rfam family: Bacterial small subunit ribosomal RNA
Source: RNAcentral